Long non-coding RNA from Chiloscyllium plagiosum (whitespotted bambooshark), 4217 nucleotides. RefSeq lists it as uncharacterized. NCBI's taxonomy places the organism in Eukaryota, Metazoa, Chordata, Chondrichthyes, Orectolobiformes, Hemiscylliidae. The record is from RefSeq and is a predicted model, not a curated record.
UAAACUUAUUUAACAUGUGUAAGCGUGAGUGUCAGAAAGAUAAAGCAGGGACAAUUGUGUCCAAAGGGAUAAUUGUGAUUUCAAAGUUUACUGAGGAAAAGAGUUCAAAAAGAAAGGGAAAUAUGUGAGAUCCGAACAAGCUGGAAGAAUAAGCAGUUGUACGCGAUAUGGGGUGAAGAAAUUUAAUGCACAAUGCCUGGCGCGAUGAGGAAGUUUGGAAAGCUCUGUGCUUUGCUGAAAACACAUGGUGUGUGUGUGCUUACAUCCGCCUAGGCAGACUUCAUUCUGCAAUGCAGCAGUUUCAAGAAAAGGGAAGAAUACAGAUCGAGAGGAGGCCUGUUAAAGCCUGGAGGACCAGUGGAUAGGAUAAUUAAUGCAAAAUGACUGAUGGCUGUUGAAGAAGGCAAGUCCUGCAAAGAGGAUUGUGCGUGAUCAAUGAAGCAUCACUGACUGACAGUUUCCUUCGAUCUUACACCCAGAUCCAACUACCGGAACGAGGAUUUGUCACCAGAGGCCGGAGGCUACUCCAUGCAUAUUUGCAAUGCAAGGCAAAAAGCUGAAAGGAAAAAGAAACAGGGGAAGAAAGAGAAACAAGACGUUUCUUUUUACAAAAAAAGUUAAAUAAAAAAGCAGCUCGGGAAGAAAGGAUAGGUAUUAAAAAAUCAGAUAAAUUUGAGAAUGGAAAUGAUAGUUGCAGAUGUAUAUAAUGUGUCUAUUUAAACUUUCCAAUACCGUAUAAAUGUUUUGCCUCGGCUCUCGUUUUGUGAGCUCGUGUGCGGAUUGACCACAUAGGUCUGAGCUACAGAGGUAACUACGCAUUAAACUUGUUAACAUCUACAGUCUAGCAUCAAGUCGUCGUUUCCCACCCCCCAUCCCAUUUCCGUCAUGAAUUGUCAAUUUUAGGCCGGCUUCACAAAUUCAAAACCAACCAACCAGUGGUCUUUGGGCUUUGGAUCUUGAUUCGGAAGCAUGACCGUCAGAAAGCAGCUUCAUGCAAUAAAAUGGCAAUGUGUUUCAGAGAGGAAAUAGCGCCUUUUUCUUUCUGAAGUGACUGAAAUUCAAACAAGCAAGGCACCGGGCUGUUCCUUUGCUGUAUGAUUUCAGGAUGGGUUGUAAAAGAGUCUCGGAAAGAGAGAGACUGUUACUUUAAUCCACGGAGCUUUGAGCGAAUGUGAGAAAUCUCUCUAAUAGGGCACUGCAUCUGUGUUGCAUUAUAAGCUGUUGAGGUCACCCUCGUAAAUGCAAGAAGCUAUUGGCACGGCUGCUUCAUUACGAUGCAUUUUAUUGAAGAAAAACGUAAAAGUAAACGGGGCUCGAAAGGACUGAAAAGCAGUCUGCAGUCUGUGAAUGUUUCAGUCCGUGUAAUUUUUUUUGCGUUUUCUUAAUCGGGUGUUGAAGAGAAAUUUGCGAAGAUAUUAUCUGGACAGAUCACGUUUCAAACUGCAGCAUUUUUUUGUGGGGAGGGUAGUGGAGUGGGAAAAAAGGAUCUGGUUUUAGCUUUAAUAAAUUAGAACCUACCGAUAGGCGUAACGGCUACUUUUAAACAUCAAUUAGGAGAAAGUGUUCCAAAGGUAAACUUAGUAUGAACAUUCUAAGUGACUGUAACGGCAAAUCAAAGAAACGUAUCAAAACCGAAAUACCUCAUAAGGUCAGACAUUUCCUUCUUUAGGCUCGAACAGCUUUUAUCAACAACAAAAAAAUACAUUUUGCACAAAGGGCCUUUAUUGUGCGAUGGCGCUCUCACACGGUAUCACAAAGUUACUCAUACUCACACACAAUCCCAUGAAGGAAACUUGCCAAAAUGAUUGAAAAUAAAGAUAGCAAAUCUCCUUUCACGGCUGCGAAGCCUCUCUUCUGGCGUCUGUGAAGCCACUUUGUGCUAAACCUUUCUUUUUAUUUAUUUUACAAAUGAAUCUGUAACCACGCCACAAUUUACUAAAACCGAAGGGGGGGUUUAUUAUCAACCAUCUGACCAGCUAAAUUUUAAAACAGACUGCUUCGACUAGGGAGGGAAUCAAGGGGCCGGUGUGACCACACUGAAUGAAUUCCACUUGAACUCUGGUUUGUGUCCAGUUAACCUUUCUACCGCAAUCUCUUCAUUUUCUGCCUAGUUUUCACCAAAAGAAAAGUUACCACGUUAAAGAGCAGCGUAUGUGGAUGUGUGAAUUAUUUUAUAUAUAAUUCCCAAUAGCUUGGGCAUUACGUGAUGUAUUCCCCCGGCACGGGAAUUUUUGUUGGUUGAUUUGUUUUUGUUCUAUAAAGUGCAGCACAGACGCUGGUUAGAUGGUCUUUGAAAGUGCGAACUGAAGAGAGUUCGAGAUGAACUCGACGGUAGAAAGCUUUCAAAUCAACUGGAGAAGGAGAGAUUCCCUUCCCAGCACGUUCUGGUUUAUUUAUGUACUGCAAACCAACAAGGAGAUGCUGUGCUGACAAUAUCCAACUCGGUAUCUGUGCUGGUGGGUUUUUAAAAAUGAUCUGGUUUCGAAUCCCGAUUCUCUCGCCACACGUUUAGAAUAUUAUAUGGAAAAUUAAACAGAUCUGAUAUGCACAGUCAGAACUCGCACCUUCACCAAAAAGUUUCAUUAUUGAGAAUGUGCGGAGGGUGUGUUAUGUGAUAAAUCGCGCUGCCUUCAGUUCGUCAAUUAGACGCGGACCCCUCGAAACAAAAUAUCAGCUCUGCUUUAACGUCAGGAUUGUACAGCAGCUCAGAAAUGGUCAAGCUCCUAAGAACCAGCUUUUGUCACGCGUUUAUACGAUAUACCCAUUUACAAUUGUUGAUCACUUGAACAGGUUCCUUUUUUUAAAAUGCCCAUUUAUAAAUUUUCAUAUUCCACUAAAUGAGAAGUGGGCGGCCCAGGAAAUUCGAAAGAGUGCCCAUCAUUUUCGUGUUGUAAAUAUUAGUCGAGGGUUUUUUUUGAAAGAAAUAGAUUUGGCGUUUUCUAAAUAAAUCUUUGUAUAACAUACAGCAAGAUUCGCCCUUUACCAAUGUGUAGAGGAGGUGGGAAUAAAAUCUAGCUAGAGAUGCACGCUUUUUUAAAUGAAUCCAAAUUAAAUAUUGUUUUACAAUUGAGCAACAAUUUUCGGAGCUUAUUUUUCUGACGGUCUGUCAAUUUUUGAUGUUGAAAUGGACGUUAGACAAGCCCCUUUCUUUGCUUACGGUUUUCUACAACCGAGUGAGCCUGUCACAUCAAUAGUUUUAAAACAGGGAAAGUGAAUUUGAGCGUUCAUCACUCAAAACUUAUCCAAGGGCUUAGUGCCCCUGCUACAUGCAUGUUGUGGAUAUUCAUGGCUGUUAAUUAUCAAUUUACUAUUCAGCAACAUGCUGAAAACACAAAAACGAUGUUCACGAUGUUAGGGUGGUUAUUACCAAUCGCUAUCUGUGAUGAAUUUAUGUAUUGUAAUGAAUUUAAUUACCGAUGUAAAUAAAUGUUGUACGCUGUAUGGAGAUGGGCUGUUUUAAUAUUGUGUGGGGUGUCCACGCGUUGACUCUGCCUGCCCGAGGCUGCUGAAGCGUUUCGAAGAGGGAAUGGUGGACGCAGUUCAAACUGCAGCCCGAGCUAUCUGCUAGGGAUAGGCUCCCUUCCUCCGCGCUUUCCCUGGAAGAUUGAGGGGCGCCUCAUGUUCGAUGGUAGUCACCGUCAGUGUGUGUGUGUGGGGAGGGGGGGUUGUGAGCGCACGUUAGUUGAACCCUCCCUAAAGAGUGUGAAAAUUAACGCUGUUGAAAAUCUUUAUCAACGGUCUCCUUGUCGAAUUACAAACCCCUACUCCAACGAACACCACCCGGCUCGAGGAGUGAUAUCUCCCAAGAAAUUGUAAAUUGGGGAUUUACAGGUCAUUUUCGGAUUCUCCCCACGGAAACUCGGUGGCGGCUGGGUGUAAAUGUGCAGAACGGGACAGCGACGUUAAACUGCCGGGCGCAGGAACUGCCUCCGAGAGAAUACUUUCGGUUUCAUACCUCAGCAAUGGGAAGCCCUACAGACUGUGGCUGGGAGUUUGCAAUAUAUCAAACCUGGAUGAGCGAGAAUGGUGGGAAAUGGUGCUGCAAAUGGGUACAGCUGUCAGUCAGCAACUACGCAGAUACAGAGACAAGUGGAGUGCUGCUAUGAUAGACCCAAGCACCCUUAGCCUUUCCAGACAUGUGACUUCAAUUUGGAUAAAAGCAAAAUCGAAAGAAAGUACGCCAGUAGGACUACACGGGGAUAAUACAUUGAUCAACG